RNAcentral lists this long non-coding RNA (1621 nucleotides) under Melopsittacus undulatus (budgerigar). Its description in RNAcentral is "lncRNA (ENSMUNG00000022170.1)". Lineage: Eukaryota; Metazoa; Chordata; Aves; Psittaciformes; Psittaculidae. The record is from RNAcentral.
UCUCCCCCUCCCCCCUUUAUCCCCCCCCACAUCCCCCUCCCCUCCCCCCUCCAUCCCCCCCCUCUAUCCCCCCUCCCCCCUCUCUCCCCCUCCCUCCCCUCCCGCUACCUUCCUCUCGGCUCCUCUGGGGUCUCCUCAGCGGAGGGGGGAGGGGCAGGGGGGGGGGGAGGGGGCGUCCGAACCUCCCUCCCCUCCCCCCCCCCACCCCCACCCCCACAACGAGGCCUACGCGGGGGGGGCUCACGGGGGGCGUCGGCCCAUGGUGGUGCCUAUGCGCCUGCGCACACCGGGGUCAACCGGGGGUCAUCAGGGGUCAAUCCGGGGUCAUCCGGGGGUCACGGGGGGCACCGGGACCCCCCCCCCCCUCCCCCAUCCUCUCCCUACCGGCCGCUCCCGCCUCCCGCCGCUCCAUGGUGAUGACGCACUUCCGGGUAGGCGCGCGCAGGGCCGGAAGUGGCGCUGCCCCCUGGCGGCGGGGGGGAGUCGCGGCGUGAGGGGUGUGCGUGGUGACGUCAACGCGUGGCCACGCCCACCACGUACGUCACGGUAUAAAAGAGGGGGGGACUUCCGGUUGUGGCCAGUCGUGUUCCUGUAGGCCUCGGGGAAGCGUCCGCGGUCAUGUGACCGGAUGCUCAACUUCCGGUUCCGCCUCUUCCGGUUCUAUGGGGACCGGUGCAGGGGGGAGGGGUAAUGAAAAGGAGGAGCCGGGAUUCGAACACGUGGCUCUGUGAGCGCCGCCAUCUUGGGUGUGGGCUCCGUUGGCCGCCAUCUUGGGAAGGGGCAGUGGAGCGGCCGCCAUCUUGGGUGUGGGCUCCCUCGGCCGCCAUCUUGGGAAGGUCACAGGGGCGCCGCCAUCUUGAGGAGGGACCGUGUCCGCCGCCAUCUUGGAACGGUGACGCCUGGGAGCCGCCAUCUUUGAUAGCGUGUUCCUGGAGGCAGCCAUAUUGGAAAGGGCACGUUAAAGGGGCGUGGCUUAGACCGGAAGGGGCGUGUCCAACGGCCGCGAUGAAGCCAACGGAGCCUGCGCUACCGGAGGGGAUCCUACGGAGGGGGGGGUCACGUGAUGGGGGCUCCCGGCAGGUGCGGUUCGCAGUGGUGGAGGCCGGACCGGACCAUGAUGCUGAGCGGGGGGGGGGCCCAUUGGCGACCCCCGUCCGGAACAGCUCCAUGAGGGCGGCCGCGCAUGCGCGGGAGGGGCCGGAGCCGUUCGACGCCCCCCGCGCAUGCGCGGAGCUGCUGGGGACCUCGUUCGCUGCGCGCUGCGCGGUGGGGGGGGCGGCGGGGGGAGCCAUGAACGUCCCCCCCUCCCACCGCCUCUAUCGUGGCCUCAUCAGCCUCUCCGUGCCCCCCCCCCGUGGGGCCCAGGAGGGGGGCUCUGCCCCAUAGCACACCCCAUAAGGUUCCGGGUCCUACCAUUGCCACCCCAAGGGGGGGGGAGGAGGAGCCUUGGCUGCCCCCCCCCUCCCCCAUCGCCCCCCCCCGGCCCCUCCCCCGCCCCCCCGGAGCUGCCUUCGUCAUGUACCGGAAGCUGCAGCAGUGGGGGGGGGGCUGAGGGGGGGUCACCCCCUGCCCCUCCCCCCCCCCUUCCCCCCCCCCCCCCCCUAUACACCCCUCCCCCCCC